CUCACUGUCUGGCUACUUCCCUUCCCUGUUCACCAAGCCCCUCACGCACGCCAGCAUGCUUUCUGUCUCCAUGGAUUUACCUGUCCUGGACAUUUCUCAUAAAUGGAGCCACGUCAUAAACGACCCUUUGUGACUGGCUCCCUUCACUUAGCGCACAGUUUUCAAGGCUCAUCCGUGUCCUGGCGCAGCAGGGCGUCAUUGCUGUUUAUGACUGAAUGAUACUCAGCAGCACAUCUCUUCCACAUUUUGUAUUUACUCAUCUGUUGAUGGACACUUGAGCUGUUGCCAUCUGUGAGCUAAAGUAAGUGGUGCUGCUGUGAACGCAGUGUUUGGUGUGUGUCUGGAUGGGUGUGUGUUUGGUUGAGGGUUUAUAAUUAUUUGGGGCGUAUACCUAGGAGUGGAAUUUCCAGAUCACAGGGUAAUUCUAUGCUUAAUAUAUCGAGCCCACCAUAUUACCUUCCAUAGUGGGUGAACCACUUUACAUUCCCACCAGUUAUGGAUAAUAGAUAGAAUGUUUCCACGUCCUCACCAAUACAUGUUAUGUUUCUUUAAAAAUAUUAUUAUGACCGUAGCCAACGUUGUGGGUAUGAACUGAUAUCUUAUUGUGGUUUUUACUUGCAUUUCCCUAAUGGCUAGUGAUGCAGAACGUCAUUUCAGUGCUUCUUGGCCACUGUAUACUUUCUUUGAAGAAAUACCUACUCAGGUCCUUUUCCAAUUUGUAGACUGAUUAUCUCUUUUUGGUGUUGAGUUGCAAAAAUUCUUUAUAUAUUCUAGAUAGUAGACUUGUAUCAGGUAUAUGACUUACAAAUAUUUUCUCCCAUAUUGUAGGUUGUUUUUUCACAUUCUGGUGCACAAAAGUUUUUUGGUUUGUUAUUGUUUUUCUGGGUUUUUUGAGAUGGGGUCUCACUAUGGUCCUCACUAUGGUCUUGGACUACUGGACUCAAGUGAUCCUCCUUUCUGAGCUUCCCAAAUAGCUGGAACUACAGGAAUGCAUCACUGUGCCCAGCAAAAGUUUUUAAUUUUGGUAAGUCCAAUAUCUUUUUUCUUUUGUUGCUCAAAUCUGUUGGUGUCAUAUCAAAGAAUCCAUUGCCAAAUCCAGGUUCAUGAUGUUUUAAACCAGUGUUUUUUUCUAAAAGAUUUGCAUGGUAGGGGUCCAACUUCACUCUGUUUGCCUGUGAAUAUCCACUUGUCCCAGCACUGUUUGUUGAGGGGAUUCUUCUUUCCCCCAUUGAAAGGUCUUGGCAUCUUUGUUGAAAAUCAAUUAGUACAGGUGUAUGCAUUUAUUUCUGGUUUAUCUUAGUUCAACUCUAUUCCUUUGGUCUAUAUAUCUUUUAUGAGCACCACAAUAUCUUGAUUACUGUUAGUUUGUCAUUGGCUUCAAAAUUGCAAAGUGUGAAUCCUCCAACUUCAUUUUUCUGUUUCAAUAUUAUUUUGGUGGAUUAAUAUUCAACUCGUGUGUGUAAGUUUGCCUGUAUGUUACUGUGUUACUGGGGAUUGAACCAGGGCUUCAUGCAUGCUGGGCAAACACUCUACCACUGAGCUACACCCCUCGCCCUUUUUAUUGUUUAUUUUGAGACAGGGUCUUACUAAGUUGUCCAGGCUGGCCUCAAACUUGUGAUCCUCCUGUGUCAGCUUCCUGCAUGCACCACUGUGCCCAACUCAUUCAUUUUUUUUUUUAAUUCAAAAAAGUGUUUCUGUAAUUGUUGAUAUUCACCCAAGCCAAGGCAGAAGGUAUCUGCAAAAGGAUUCUUACAGGAAGAACCUAGAGAUCCGGAUUUGCUGGAUUUGCCACCAACUCUGUAGGUGUCCUUUGCAACCCACAUCCUCUCUCUGGGCCUCACUUUACUCUUCUGCCAAAUAGAGAAGAGGGAGCUCAAAUUUACGUUUAUGCUUGGAGUGGGACCUGAAACAUUUUAGUGAGCUCCCCUGUAAAAAUGCUUAGAAUGCCCAGCCUGAGGGUCCAGGCCACAGAGACGUGGCUGCCAGAGUUCCCCUCCCACAAGCCCCACACCUGGAGCUGCCUGGCUUCAGUGAAUCCCCCCGGUCAUCAGUAAAGGUGUUGUUCUAGCAAGAACUCAAUCGGCAGAGGGACGAGAAGUCUGGGCCUGGAGAAAUUCGGACAUUGGGUCAGCAGUAGUGUGUCCUCUGUCUGUCAUUGAUUUCUGCUUGACAUUUUCCAGCACUUGACAAAUGGAUUAAGAGCAGAGUCUCAUAUAUUGUGGGUACCCUGGGUGAUGCAAAGACUAAUUAGCUAUGCCCCCUGCCUUCUGGUAAUCAGUUUCACAUUUGAAUAAUAAUCAGGGGGAAUUUUAAUCAUCUUGAAAGUUAUUAUUUUUUUCAUUGUUUUGGGUAUUACUUUCAAUUUUUUUUUUUUUAAAUCACUACUGCACAUAUAAAUAGCCUUUCAGAAAAAGCAGAGCCCUGAACACAGAAGAUCAGCUACUUGCCUAGCUGGAUGCCACCUACCAUUCCAAACAACUUAGUGCAGUCUGUGUUGGUUGAACUGCAGUCAAGAUGCGUUGGUACCGUCUUAGCUUUCUUUACCUGACGGGCUUUCAUAGAACACACCGUCCUACGGGGAUGGCACCCACAUUCUAGACCAUGAGCUAGAACGUCUCCACCUCAAGUCUCCACCUGACUCUUGCCCCCAUUUCUACGCUGUCCUCCAGCUGAUGGGCUAAUGCUGGAGUGUGGGCAGGUCCUCUGCCACUGCUGCCAGAGAUGGUGGUAGUGAGAACAAGCGGGGGGUAUGGUCAGGUGAUGGAUGGCACUUGGCAGGGGACAGAGACACAAGAAGUAUCAAGAAUGACUCCCAGAUUUCUGGCCUGCAACACGGCUUAUUUGGUCCUAGUCAAUGAGCUCAGAAGCACAAAGUGGACCAGGUUUGGGUUGAAGAACAGGGCACCACGUUGUUCCACGGUCCCUAUAGAGUUGGGUACCAUGGGAACCCCAGAGAAGCUCAUGUGCUCAGUCUUAGAAAAGUCAUGCCCGAGGUGACUUUUCAGCUUCCAGAUGACGUCAGUAAGGAGACAGAGGGAGCCCAAAGCAGGGCAGGCCUGACCCAAGAAGCCCAGAGAGGCCGCUGGUGCUGGGGAGGGGGCCUCUGCUGCCAGGGUUUCUUCCAGAGACCCCGGAGAGGAGGGAAGGCCGGCCGAAGUGCUCCCCAGGAAGGCGGCUGAGCUGGGAGGGCUGGGGAAGGGCAGGGCGGCAGGAAUAAUUACCUGAGCUGGCAGCCAGCCCCAGCUGAGUGUGGCCCCAGGGAGCCGAGCGCAGAAAGAGCCGCGUCUUUAGUGCCGCAGGUGUUGGAGUAGAAAAUUUUCCAUGAAGAGGGGGCUGUUCCACAAGAUUAAAAUAGCCACUUGGGCCCUCCUGGCAAGCGCAGCGUCUCUCCACACCUCCAGCGUGUUCUUCAAGUGGAGGCUGUUCCUGUUCCGAGGAGGGAACCGGCAAAAAGAAUUCCUUCUCUUCUCACAUUUGCUAAUAAGGAAGGAGAGGGACAAAGGGCCCCAGGGGCAGCCGGGGAGGCAGGGCGUGGUGUUCUGCUGAAGACCUGGAGGGAGGCUGAGGAGGGGAACACCUGGGGUGCGGAGCCCAGGGUGCAGCGGGGAGCGCUGGAAAUGGAGUCGGGGCCUGGAGCCCUCCGGCUGAGUCCCCGUGCUGUCCCGUCCAGGCCCAGAGUUUUAGGGGUGAACUGGACAGAGCAAUGUGCUGGGAGGGAAGCUGGAGACUCCUCUGUAGUAAGAAGACAAAUUUCUCCCCCUGGGGAAUUGGAGGCCUUGUCCCUUCCAGGAAGAAGCCAGGACACAUGUCCCACUGCCUCUUACACUCCCCUCUUCCUGUCUGAGGGGCUGGGCUGGCUGGCAGCUUGGCCUCCCCUCUGUGCCAGGGUGGCUGGAGGACAGAGUAAGCCCUGCCUGCCACGCAGGUGGCACAUGAACUUCAGGACACGUUCAUGAGGAGAUGGUGACGUCUCUGGCCCUCAUUCAGCCAAGGUCUCCGGAGUUCUCAAACGUCCUCGUCCCCACCCCUUUCUUAGUUGCACUGGGUUUUCUUGGCUUCUUCAGCGGCACCAGGUAUUGCAUACCCCUCCUCCCUCUUUGCCACGGCAGGUCCCCUCAGCCGCUGGGAGUGAGUGUGGACAGCCACCCACUCCCCAGAGGCAGAAUGUGCAGGGACCCCUUGGUCUCUUCCGGCUGUUGCUAUUGGGACAUUACUAUUGCGGGGAAGAAGCUAACCGUGGCCUGUCUCUGCUUACCUAACUUUUUACAAAAUGCCCUCUGCCCAUGUUGGCAAGCGGCUCACCAUCAUGAAAGAUGCUGGGGACCCACCCCUGGUGAAAGCCACUCUCCCAGAUAGUCCCCUGAUAGGGGCAUCUGAGAGUCCUCCCCACUGUCUCAGCCCUCACUGACCCCCUCUCUGAACAACACUUCCCACAUAGGUCUUCUCCAAGGUGCGCAUUCCUGCAUCAGACUCCCCUGGGAAGCCUUUUGGGAAAGCAGAUUCCUGAGCCCAUUUUCCAUUCUGAAAAGUAUCUGCGCUUGCAGUGUCUCCCAGGGGAAUCUGGGGGAAUCUCUCCAGCUGUGUUAACUUCUUUAUACCCCACAGUUUGACACACAGUCGUCUCCACCACACAUUGCCUCCUGUCCCAGUGGGCAGAACAAUGGUGUUCAUGAUUCCUCACAUGUGGCAGGGCUCAGUCAGUGACUGUGAGGACGGCUACUAGCUGGUGUGUGUGUGUGUGUGUGUGUGUGUGUGUGUGUGUGUGAGAGAGAGAGAGAGAGAGAGAGAGAGAGAGGGGAUAGAUAAGAUAGGAUAAGAUAAUACAAGAAAGUAGGGUUAGUAGAACCCCAUUACAGUAGCUUUGCCUGCAGGUCUGGUGCUACCUCAUGGAACUGAAGUGUGGGAUGUAGAGAAAGUUCUUAGCAGACAGGAUCCUGGAUCUACAAAGCUGUUAAGAGCAAAGGCAGGAGGAGGACUCACGUCCAAGGGUAACAGGGUUCAGAUACACUACUUACUGACCAUAUGUGUUUGGGCAAAUUGCUUGAUCUUCAGGCCUGGCUUAACAGCACUUCCUCCCAGGAAGCAGUGGAGGUUGACUUGGAGGCUACAAGAGGCCUAAGUAUCUGUAAGCCUACUGUGUGCCCCAGGCUCGGCUUCCCUCCGUACCCUCCUCCUCCUCUCUCGCAGACUGGUUCCCGCUCCUGCCUGUAUAGAUUCAACCUAUAGCUACUUUACAUCUCCUCAGAGGUAGACACCCAAAACGGAGGUGCCACUCCCUUGGCCCGAGUCUCCAGAGACUCUGAGGGCCUUUCAGGGUCCUCCCCACCCAAAUCAUCCCUGGUUGAGAAUGAGGGGUGUAGUGUGCGAACAGGAUCCAGCUCCAUCACCUCAGCCCCAUCAGGAAGAGAGUUCUCAGAGAGGAGAGUGGAGGGUGGCCAGGGCUGGGUACACACCCCACAGGCCUCUGCUGUGACCCUCCUAAGCCUCCUCCUGGGUCCUCACCCAGGCUGCUGGUGUCUCCAGAGCCUUCUCUCAUCUUGCUGGGGGGCUUGAGUUCUUCAGCCUCAGGUCUGCCUGCCUCCCCCUGAAUCUGCCCCACUUGUACCCUCCGCUGGGCCUUGAUGCCUAAGCCCUGUGUCUAAAGGGCUUACAGUUAGUUGGCGGAAUCAAACACACACACACGCACACACACACACAAGUUGAAGUGUCCGGUGCUCCCCCACCAGCUGCAGCUCCCAGGGAGGAGGAGUCCGGAGGAGGAGGGCCCCACGUGGGCUGUGAGGCUCGGGAAAGCUUCCUGGAGGAGGAGGAACUAGGUCAGGGGCUCGAGGCUGUGCGAGGCUGUGCGGGUUGGGGGGACAUCCUGGCAGGCAUGGGAGGAAUGGGGAAGGCCUGCUGAGAAGCUGCCUGGCAGGGACACGGUCAGGAAGGAGUCAGAGCACAACAGGUGCUGCCAUCACAGGGGGCCUCCUCCUGGGGCUGGGGCUCCAGCAAGCCCUGGCCUCCCUGCUCAGGCGAGCUGCUGAAGGGCCUCCCCAGGACCUGACUGCUCAUUGAUCGGCCUGUGAAAGGCCACUUGGUGGGCUGGUUGCCGAGAGACGGCCCGAGGCCGGGGGCCAGGAUUAGUGAGUGGCCUGUUUGCUCUCCUUGCUGAGAGGAAGGAGGACUUUGGUCUCAGCUUAUCAAACUGCCCCAGGUUUGAAAGCCCAGGAAUGCAACCUUGGGCAAAUGGGCAGGUUCACAGGACACCCAUUAAUCAAACAGCUCCCUUCCCUCCAGCCUAACAACUUCUCUCUCUCUCUCUCUCUCUCUCUCUCUCUCUCUCUCUCUCUCUCUCUCUCUCUCUCUCUUAUGUGGUCUUUUGGAGCUCCCAGAAGAGAGGGGACAUAUAUUUCCUCAAGCCCAGCUGACCACCACCCCAGGCCCGGGAGGAACUACGCAGGAGAGCAGGCCAGCUCAGAUGACUUUCCCUAAUGGGCCCAUGAGGUCCUGUAGAGGCUUCCCUAAGGUGGACAGAGCCGUCAGGCCACCCCACCUGCCCUGUGCCCCACACAACUAGCAACACAUCAUCCCCUCAAGAUGGAAAGAAAAAUGUCCUCACCAAUAACUUCUAGAGAAAGCUUUCUUUAAAAUAUACAAUCCUUUCCAACUCCGUGGACUGCACAAGGGCAGUCCUUGUCACUGCUAGCACACACAGUCACGUGUCACAUGCCAAACGCACAGUUACGUGUCAGCCCAGAGGCCAAAGAUCCAGACUCCUCACCAGUGCUUGGCUCUAAGGGGAAAAGGAUGAGUCUUAGCAUGUCUCCCUGCCAACGAGAACAAGUUCAGAGGAAUAAGUUAAUAAUAAUAAUAAACAUAAACUGGGUCUUAAUAGUAGGUGUGACACCAACUACAAGUUCCACCUGGGGGCACAUAGUUUUCUGGUAUCGGGGUGGAGAAGGUUCCUGGCCUUCAGGAGAUCAUGUGGCUCUCAUUUGAGCCAACUGGCCAUGGCUGCUGCCUGGGUAGUGUCUACCUGCUGGCAGGAAGCUAGACGGGCAGGGGAAGAGAGAGUACCAAAUGCUCUGCUCUGCUCAGACUUCACCCAGAGUGUUGCCUUCCGUCCUGGGCACCACGCCUGAACUUUCCACCCGAUGCCAGCCUAGUCACAGAGGGUGAGCCCACCAACUGGGAAGGGCUUUCAAGCCAGGUCGGUGAGAUGUCUGGUCUGAGCGGACUUAGGAGUCACACCCUCUGGUCCAGAGAAGACAGAGGAAGUCCUCAGCCCUACCUACUGCCCUGCACCCCUGUGCCCUCUGCCUCAAUUUCGGCAUCCACCGCCUUCCCUGGGCAACCACAGAGGUGUCUCCAGAACUUUCUGGCCAAGCCCCUGACAGUUCCUGAAGUCCCUGCUCCUUCUCGUUGGCAGGUAGACAUGCUAACACUCAUAGGAUUUUGCACUUUCCCCUGGAAACUCUUCAGAUCUCUGCCACCCCUGCCCACCUCCUGCCAUAGCCCCAGAAUGAGACAGUGAGACCCGCAGGCCCUGCACAUCUUGUAGCAGUCUGCAACCCUCACAUCCCACAUUACCCACAGGGCAGGGUACCACACAGCACCCAGCCUCCCCACUUCCUGUCCCCUUCAUCUGGAUCUCCUUCAGCCUCCAGCUGCCAUCUGAAUGACCCCCUGCCCAUGACUCACUGUCCCCUCCCUGGGCCCAGCACCCUGCCUGAGGCCUGCUGCUGUUUUCCCCAUUAGCCUCCUUCUCUAGGCUAUCUGCUACUCACUGGGGUCCCCCCACAUCUGUCCCCAGCUCCUGGCACUAGCCUGGCACCCAUUGGUAUUUGUUGAAUGUACAGAUGCCAGCUGUUUUCAAAGGUGUGAAAGACUGUCAUGUGGAAUGAGGGUUAGUCCUGCCCUAAUCCUCUGAGUGACUCAGAGCUGGCAUUGGAAGCCAGAGACAGGAGUCAGGUGAGGUCCCUGGAGAGCAGGCCACUCCUGGAGGUGGCAAGUUCCCUGCACCUGAAUGGAAUAGGAAGACCCAUGGAAGAGGGCGGCAGCAGAGGGGUUCUCUUGGUGAUCUGACCUCCGUGGGCCGUCCAGCUCUAGGAGGCUAUGGGCUGGCUUCACUUUUGGACCCCCUCCCAUGAGCACAGCAGUCAUACUGCAGUCAGGGCUGCAGGGCUGGGCCUUGGAGUGCCAAGAGGCAGGACGUAUCCCAGCAGGGCUGACCCUAGCAAAGCAGGCCCGCUCUGUGCCUAUGGAAGACAAGGUGGGUGGAGUCUGACUGUCAGCCUGCGGUCCUCAGAGAGAGCUGGGCCUUCUCUAUCUGUACCCAGCAGGGUUGGCACACUCCUCACACCCUCCUGCUUGAGGGCUGAGCAUUGUGUUUCCCACCAAAGGACACUGGCCCAGAAGGCCAGGAGCCCAGCACUGAGAUGGGGACUUGGCAUCAGAGCUAACCCAGGUGCAGCGGGGAGGAGAGGUGACCUCUGCAGCCAGUGUGGCUCCUCGGCCUCAGCAAGGCCGUCCUCCCCACCAGCAAGGUCACAGUUAUCUGCCCCAGAGCGAGUGCUCUUGUAGGGCCUGGAUGCCCUCCAAACAUGUGGAGGGAGUUUCAACCUAAUCCAGGACUUUUAAAAGGUCUCCCACGCCUGACAUUUUCCAAGUGUUGUAAGCUCCAGGCAAGGACAAGAAAGAAAAGCACUUGGAAGUACUUCUACGGCUGCAGCUGCCAGUGUCACCUCAGAGUGUGUCAACGUGCAUGAAUCAGUGCGUGUGUCAGUGUAAGAAUGUGUCGGUGUGUACGUGUAUGCAUGCAUGUGUCCAUGUGUGUCUCCUGUGUGUGUGCAUCCCUGUGUAUGUCACUUACAUGUCAGUGUGAUGUCUGCGUGUGCCUCUGUGUGUCUGUGCAUGUGUGUGCAUGUGUGUGCAUAUUGGGAAGGGUGUGGAGAAGUCAUUUGCUUUGAUUGUGAGACCGAAAGAAGCACUUGGUUCAGAAUCUCUCUCCCAGGCUGGAAGGACAGCGGAAGAUGGUCCCGAACCUCGCUCUCUAACUGGUUGUUGGAUGUGGCCACCUGCAGUGAGGCCCCUUUGAAGUCUCUAUUCGCAAACCUUCUUCAUAUUCCACAGAAACUUUGCCCGCUUCCCUGGUUUUGCCAAAACUGUGGUCAUUUUCCUGCUUUGAGAGUUUAAUGUUUAUAGUCACAGGAAAGGGUGGGGAUUUUCAGUCAGCAGGUCCUGAAUCCCAGUUCCCCGGGGCCAGGUGUGAGACUCAGGUGAGCUCAUCUCAGUAAGCCUGUCUCCCGAGGCGGUGAUGUGCAGCGCUACCACGUGGGGCUGGACAAACACUGGGAGCUUUCUUGCAUGUUUUCACAGGUUUCCCCAUUUUGCAAAUCUGCUUUUCCAAUGUAUGAUUCAAAAACAAAACAAAAUAAAGCACAAAAAUUAUAUUCCCAGUCUCCUUUCCUGCAGGAUACAGGCACAUGUCUGACAUUGCCCCUGAGUGAUGACCCCAUAAGAGGUGGGAGCAGGCUGAGGGGGCAGGCUGAGGGGACAACCGUGGGCUGGCUGAGCAGCAGCAGAGGCAGGUGGGCUCAGACACAGCAGAGUUCCAACCCCCAGUCUCGUGGGACUCCUGACUGUUCCUACAAUGUCAUCCUGCACCCUGCCCGGUGGUGGGCUUGGCACUCUCUCACAUCCUUAGAUAAAUUCUUUCCUGCUUUAACUACCAGCUAAUGAAGAUUCUGCCCUCUGUAACUGAGAGCCCCCUAGUCCCAGAGAACCCACAUAGGUCGGCAUUUGGAGACAGGGACAGUUGUGAUUACAAAGGGUACAUGAAAUUAGAUCCACGAUUGUCUUGGAUGGUCCCUGAAUUUCCCGGGCUUCUCCUUUCCUCGUGUUGGCAAUCUUGCCUGAUGGAUGGAGCCCUGGCUCUCAGGCAGCUGAUGCAGGAUGGAGACCUGCCUGUCUCAUCUUCUCUCAGUGGGAAGAGAGUGGAGAAGUGGUGUUUUAGGGAGGCCAGCCCAAGGGCCCCCUUGUCUCUCUUUAAGAUCUCCCUUCAUAGCUAGCAAGUCCCCUACCCUGGGCCAGAGAUUGGGCUAGGCAGUUUAGGGGCUGCAAAAUAAAAGUUAGAACCCCAAUAUCUAGCCCUAAGGAGGUUGGUCUGACGGAGAGGCACCUCGACUGGUGAGAGAGAAGAAUGACCGAAAAAGUGGGCGUGAGGAGGAGGUGGCUUUGGCUGGGGUGGCCAGAGAGGCCUUCCCAAAGGGAUCCCAGCAGGGCCUGACCCUGGGUAGGCGAGAUUUGGGGGAAUGAAGAAUGCCGGGAAGGGAGCCCCAGGAAAACAAUGAGAACAAGUAAAGUGCCAGGUGGGAUCGGUGCCCCCCACUUUAUGGGGCAAAGAGAGAGAGCCCUCUGGAAUUGUCGGCUUCAGCCAGUUCCUGGGGCCCCGAGGCCUGGACGAGGAGCUUGGGUUUUAGUCCAGGAUGGAUAUAUGACUGGGUUCGACAGAGAGGACCUUGACCUCACCCCUCUGCCGCUCUCCUGACUUCCAGGGUCAGAAGCCUGGUGCCCGUGGGGAGGAGUAGCCCACUGCUUCAUGCCCUUCCUUCGUCUGGGCCACCAGAACUACAUUGGCAAAGGACACCCAAAACUGCCUGUUCCCCAAUACAAGGUUUUUAUCAAGUUUUUCAGGCUUUGUCUUGCUGGAGCUCCGGGGUUUAAUGCUAGAAUCUCUCCAUUCUUAAAACUCUCUCCGUGGCUUCUGCCCACUUCCCAGGAGGAGCUCAGACGAGCGGGCUCAUCCUCUGCCGAGUGUGACCUUAAGGGCCUCAGUUAGUGCAGCAAGGAGACUUAACACGGGACUCCGGACAUCGUAAGGUGGACAUUCCCAAGAAUCAAGUCAGCUUCCUGAUCGCCCACCUCCGACGUCUCCUCCCAGACUCUUCCCUCUCUGUGUUAAUGGCCACUAGCAUCCUCUCGUGAUCCAGGCCAGACACCUGGCAGGGAUCCUGUCCUCCCUGCCUCAGCCCCACACCCUGAGAGUCAUGGUCCCACAGCUCCACCUUGUCCCUCUCUGCCACUGCCCCCUCACGUUGCCCCGGCCCUCGCCAAGGCCCAGCACCCCCAGCUCUGCCAUGACCUCCUACCUGGGCGCUCAACCUCCCGCCACCCCUCCCUGCCUGGGCCGACUCUGCUAGGGAGAGCUCCCUAACGCACAGACCUGAUGAGCCGGGCCCUUCUGGACCUCCCUCAGUGUGUCCCCACCACUCACCAAGGCAGGUGAGAGGAACAGUCCGCUCUUCCCCAUCUUCCACCUCACACACCUGCCGCACCAUCGAGACCUGCGUGUGGGGCCCUAAGAGCGUCCUGUUGUUUCUGCCCAGGGCCCUUAUCUGGGCCGUGGCCUCUGCCUGGAAUGUGCUUCCCACCCUCAUUGGCCUACAGGACACCCAUCCACCCUUCAAGAACACCACAGGGGAUAUCGCCUGACCCCAGACUGGACUAGGUGCGUCUGCUCUGUGGCCCUACGUACCCGAUACCCCAUAUAAAAACACCACUGUGGUCUGUACUAUCUGAUUACAGCCACGCCCUCCCACUAGCUGAGCUGAUUUGGGACCUGGGACUGUGUGUUAUACAACUUUUGGGGACCCUGUCCCCGAGUUUCAUGCCUGGCACAAGUGGGUACUGAAUACAAUUUUGUCAGUGGCAGCCAAACUAAACGGCAGGAUGCUUUGGAAGGAGGUUGGCCAGUGAGCAAGGGGACACACCAAGGUAUAGAUGACCAAGUUCAACCAAGAGAAUUCUCCUUCCCCUGAGGAAGUCUUCUGAAACCAGGAGGUAUCCCUGAUUCAGCAGGGACAGGCAGACAGGACCCCCACUCACACUCCCUGGGGAGCUUCUCGCCAAGGACCUCGUGCUCCAAGGAGGUGUCAAACCAGAGGUCAGAAUGGCCAGGUCAGUGGAGAAAGGCAGGAGGUGUGGGGGCCCUUGGGCGGCAGGACUUCCCACCUAUUAGAUAAACAGGGGACACAGCCACAAGCUGUGGGAGAGGAAACAGGCAGAUCCAGAGAGGGACACCAUGGGGCUACAGGCUCCUGUCUCCUCAGCAAGCUGGUGCUGAGGGAGCCUGAGGGCUGCAACACCCAGGUGCAGUGCGUGGUCCACAUCAGACUCUGGAGUCAGGACCUCUGGAGAGAUGUGAAUGCAAAGUGAUGUUAGGGUUUACCAAGAAGUUACUAGUCAUAAUUUGAUACUAUAAUGUUAUUUUAACUAUGUAGGAAAAUAAUCUUAUUUUUUAGAGACACAUUCAGAAAUAUUUAGGGAUAACAUAUUAUGGGACCUGUACCUCAGUUUAAAAUAUCUCAGUGUAAAAUAUAUAAUGAGUUUAAGGGCCAAUGCUACUGUGAGAAACUGUAAGUUAGACACACUGUGAAUUUACAGCAAUUAUCCUAGGAAAAUUUCAACGGUUGAGCUUGUGCUGAUGAUUGAACAGAUUCCCGUUGUGAUGUCUGUGUUCUGUGUUCAGGUCGAAUCGUCGAUAGCUUGUCAUAUGAAGAGCUGUCAGGUGUGAGUGAAGUCUGCAUGUCCAGUCCUGAUGGUUUCCAUGAUGAGGGAGACCUUGGCUGUCUGGGACCUCGUGUGCAGUUAAGGAGCGUCUUGAGAGUUAGCCAAGGAAGGGGUCCUCAUGCCUGAGAAGUGACGCAGCACUGAAUGAAGCAGGGCUUGGUGUGGCAAGGACCAAAGGUGCAGCGUGCCCGCUUCCUUGAAGGGCAACUCAGGAACAGAACCAGAAUCUGGGCUGGUUAGAAAUGCAAGAGUCCAAACCAGCCGCUAGAGCAGCUCAUGGGGAUGCGAAACGGGCUCCACACAGAAAUCUGGCUGCUGCCUGUCUGCUGUGGCCUCCCCUCCCCAGGGCCUACGACACUGUGCAGUUAGGAUCACAGUUGUAAAAACAACCCUGCGACCGUGCUGGUGUGCUGGAGCCAGGGUGUGCAAGUGUGCAAGCGUGUGUGCCAGGAUAUCUGGCCCACAGCCGAGCAGGGCUGGCGAAAACUGAGAGCUGACCGUCCAAGGCCCCUACCGUGAGGCAGAGAGGACCGGUGAGAGGCAGACCCACGCGGGAAUUGAUCCUUAGGGAAAAUGGCAUUAUAUAUCUCUCUGUGUGUGGAGGUACCACCACGUUCCUCUUUACUGUGUAUAAAAAAAGUCGUGUCUUUGUUCAAAUAGCAUUUUUAAGGUUUUUAUUGGUGCAUUACGAUUAUACAAAAUAGUGGGGUUCGUCGUUAUAUAUUCCUACAUGCACACAAUGAUAACACUAUAGUUUGCUCCACUUCUUUCCCCACUAACUCUUGUCCCUCCCUCUGGUCCCCUUCCUCUACUCUACUGGAUUCCCUUCUAUUUUCAUGAGAUCCCACAUACACAGUUUUCUCCCCCUUUUCUUCACUCUACCUUCCACAUAAGAGAGAAAACAUAUGGUCCUUGACUAUCUGUGUUUGGCUUGUUUCAUUUAACAUAAUGCUCUCAAGUUCCAUCUGUUUUCCUGUAAAUGUUAGUUUCAUUCUUCUUUAUGGCUGAAUGAAGCUCCAUUGUGUAUAUAGACCACAUUUUCUUUAUCUGUUCAUCCACUGAUGGACCCGUAGGCUGGUUCCCUAAUUUGGCUACUGUGAAUUUUGCUGUUAUAAGUAGUGGUGUGCAUGUAGUGCUUUAGUAUGUUGACUUAAGUUCUGUGGGAUAAAUAUGGAGGAGUUGUACAGACUGUCCCAUUUCAAGUCUUUUGAGGAAUCUCCAUAAGGAUUUCCAUAGUGGUUGUACUAAUUUACAAUCCCACCAAUAAAAGUGUUCCUUUCCCCCACAUCUUUUCCCACGUUUAUUAUUAUUUGUAUUCUUGCCAACUGCCAUUCUAACUGGGGUGAGAUAAAAUCUCAGUGAGUUUUGAUUUCCAUCUUCCUAAUUGCUACAGAUGUUGAUCAGCUUUUAAUAGAUUUGUUGGCCAUUUGCAUUUCUUCUUUUGAGAAGUGUCUGUUAGUUCAUUUGCCAUUUAUUGGUGGGGUUCUUUGUAGGGCUUUUUUGGGGUUAAGUUUUUGAGUUCUUUAUAUAUUCUGGGUAUUACUCCUUUGUCAGAGAACAGAUGGCAAAGGUUUUCUCCCAUUCUGUAGAUUCCACUUUCUCUUCUUGCUCUUGUUUCUUUUGCUGUUCAGAAGCUUUUUAACUUGAUGCCAUUCCACUUAUUAAUUCUUGGCAUUAUUUCCCAAGCUGUAGGAGCCCCAUUGAAGAAGACUGUACCUGUACCUAUAAGAUGAGUGUUGACCCUACAUUUUUUUCUAGCAGUUGCAAAAUUUUGGGUCUAAUUCCUAGGUCUUUGACCAUUUUGAAUUGGCUUUGGUGCAGGGUAAGACAUAGGACUCUUGUUAAAUUCUUCUACAUAUGAAGAACCAGCUGUCUCAGUGCCAUUUGGUGAAAAUGCUGUCUUUUCUCCAGUGUAUCCUUUUGGUACGUCUGUCAAGGAGGAAAUGAUGGUAUCUGUGAGGCUUUGUUUCUGUAUCUUCUAUUCUCUAACAUUGGUCUGUUUUUUUGUUUGUUUGUUUGUUUGUUUAUGCCAGUACCAUACAGGGGUUUUGUUUUGUUUUGUUUUUACUAUAGCUCUGUAGUAUCAUUGGAAGUCAGGAAUUGUGAUGAUUCUAGCAUUGUUUGUGUGGUUGGUUGGUUGGCUUUUUUGCCUUAAAAUUUCUUUGGCUAUUCUGGGAAUUUUACUCUUCCAAAUGAAUUUUAGGACUAUUUUUCCUAGUUCUAUGAAGAAUGUCAUCAUUAUUUUAAUGGGGAUUAAAUUGAAUCUAUAGACUGCUUUGGUAGUAUGGCCAUUUUAACAACAUUACUUCUGCCUGUCCAUGAACAUGGGAAGUCUUUCCAGCUUUUAGUGACUUCUUCCCUGUCUUUCUUCAAUGUUCAAUUUUUGCUGUAGAGGUCUUUCUCUUCCUCAAUUAGAUUUAUUUCUAGCUCUUUUUUGUUUAUUUAUUUUGAAUGCUAUUGUGAAUGGAAUUGUUUUCCUGAUUUCUUUUUUUGGCAAAUUUAUUAUUGGUGUGUAGGAAAGUUAUAAAUUUUUGUAUGUUGAUUUUGUAACCUGAUACUUUGCUGAAUUUGCUUAUUAGCUCUUCCAGUCUUCUGGUGGAACUUUUUGGAUCUUGCAAGUAUAAGAUCAUAUCAGUUGCAAAAGGCAAUAAUUUGAUUUUUUUCUUUUCUAUUUGUAUCCCUUUUAUUUCUUCCUCUUGCCUAAUUCCUCUGUCUAGAACUUCAAAUACUCUAUUGAAUAAGAGUGGUAAGAAUAGACAUCAUAUCUUGUUACUGACUCUAGAGAAAAUGCUUUCUGUUUCUCCCCAUUCACUAUGGUAUUGGUUUUGAACGUGUUGUACAUUGUCUACAUUAUGUUGAGGUAGCUUCCUUCUAUUUCUAGCUUCUUUAGUGUUUUUAUCAUGGAUGGAUGCUUUUGCCAAAGGCUUUCUCUGCAUCUAUUGAGAUGACCAUGUGAUUUUUUUUUUGCCUUAAUUCUAUUUAGGUGGCAAAUUAAAUUUAUUGAUUUGCGUAUAUUGAACUAUAAAUUUUUUAUUUCAGAAACUAUAUACCAGGGUUUAAAUUAUCAAACAUUGUGAAUAUUAUAAAGGUUUUAUUUUCAAAGAAUGUCAUUUAUCAAACUAUUAAUGCUGCAAAUGUCUCCAGAGCUAACAAAUACCACACAACUGGAGCUGAUUGUAUAGAAUAGACCAAACAAGCUUAUUUCCAGUGUAAACCAAAGCUUAAAAAAAAUGGGAGGGUGGGGCUGAGGGUGUAGCCCAGUGGUAGAACACUUGGCUAGUAUGUACAGGGCCCUGGGUUAGGUCCCCAGCACCACAAAAGAAAUUAAUUUCAUAUAUUUCGAAAAGCCAGCAAUGCUUGGGUCCAAAGGAAACCAGGGAAUGCAUGAAGAAAUAUUCCUCCUCAUCAUGAAAAAUCACUAAUGAUUAUUCAAGCCCUUAAUUAGAGUAUUUAGUUAACAUUCAAAAGAGCCCAAGAAAAGACAUAUUUGAAACCCAAUUUCCCGGUUCCCGGGAGGACAUAAUUAUAUUGCACAAAAUGGCUGUCAGGCUUCCCACUACUGGAAGGAAGGGGCAGUUCUGAGAAGCAAUAUGAGUGGGCUGGCACCUAUGUGUACCCCGCAAAGUCUGUCCCUUCUUCAUAGCAUCCUUUCAGAUAUCCCAAGUUCAGGGUCAGAUCUCCUGUGAAUCUCCCAAAAUUCUCCAUUCAUUUGUCACCCAACCUGGCUGGCUGUCCCCUCCCUAUCCUGAUAAUUAUCCAACAGAAAUAUCACUCAGGGAAGGGUGGCAAUGGAGGCUUUAUGUGGUCACUUAGCAAAUUUAGAGUUUUUCAACAUGAGGACUAUUUUCCUGUAGCCCCAGCUGGGGACAGGCGCUAGUCUCUAGAUGUCCGUAUCACCAGGGAACACCUCUCAAGUGACUGACAUGAGUCCUGGUAGAAAAGCAACAGUGAUGGGACAACAUGGACCGUUCAAAUGUCCACAGUGGAAGGGCUCCUGGAGAACAAUUUGUCCCAACCUUCUCUUACCAUCGGGAGGAAACAUGAGGGCCAGACACAGGAGAAGGUCAGCCAUGUAUGGAACGUAACUGAGAUGGAGCUAGGAGCUCUUCUGAUUCCCAGUCCUCUGGCUCCAAUCACAUCAGAGCCUUGACUUUUCACAAAACAAUCUGAAUCUAACAGUCAAUCUGGAUCCCCCGAGAUCCUUGUCCCUGCUGCACCUUCCUGGGACGAACAGCUUUUGUACGCCUGCUUCCUGUCUGUUAAAUGAAGAUAAUGAUGAUUUCCCAGGGUUGUGGCAAUGGUCUUAAAGGGAACAUUAGAUGUAUUCUCACACUGCACGUCAUCAAUGAGGAGUGAGUGGGUAUCAUCAACUCAUCAUCAUCAUCAUCGUCAUCUCUGUCAUUAAGAGACUCAAGGUCACAGAGCAACAGCUUCAUCAAUGUAUUAAACAACUGAGCACCUCCCAGACAAAUCUUGAGGGUUAAAGGCCUGUCUGUCUGCUCUCCUUCAGGGAUUCCAGUCAUGUAUAUCUGAGGCCACACAGUGUCUCACAAUGUCUCACGACUCACCCUUGUUCUGUUUGGUCUUGGGGAUUUUUUUUCUUUUUUGCAUCUCAUUUUGGAUGGCUUCUAUUGCUCUUUCUUCAAGUUCACUAAUAUUUUCUUCUGCAACAUCUAAACUGCUAUUACUCUUGUGCAGUCUAGUUUUUAUCUCAGAUAUUUCCUGUUGACUUAUUUUUCUGUCUUCUUGAACGUAUAGAAAAUACCUACAACAGUUCGAGUGUCCUUGUCUACCCAUUCUGCCAUCUGUUUGAUUUCUGGAUCUGUUCUUGUGGAUUGACAGUUUUCUUCUCUGUGGGCUCCGCCUCCCUGCUUCUCCACAUGGUCGGCGCAGCUAUUACAUGGCUGAAAGACACUGUGAAUUUUACCCUCUUGGGUGCUGGAUAUUUUUAUAUGUUUUUCAAAUGUUCUUGAGUUUUUAUUCUGGACAUUGGUUAAGUCAUUUGAAAGCAGUUUAUUUUUUCCAAGGCUUACAUGGGGUUCCUUAGUUGAGAUCAGAGCAAGCUCAAGUCCUGGCUAAUUAGACCUAUUGCUACUACGAAGACCAUAACUUUCUUAUACUCUAGGCGAUGUCCCAUGUCUUACAGGAUUUCCCCUCUGGCUGGUGGGAACAGAUAUUCCUGAUAUAUAUUCCUGAUCUGUGUGAGCUCUGAGGAUUAUUAUGCCCAGUGCUUCAAGGGAUUCUAGCAGUUUCUUUGUGCAAAUGCGGCUCUCGUUUUCUGUAGACACUGAGGAAGGAGAGCCUCUGCAGGUCUCCAGCCCUCUCUGCAGCUGUCCCUCAGACUCUGCCUUGGAAGCCUGAGAUUCCCAGGCCACCUCCCCCUCACAAGGGGUCCACCAGCCUCCACCUGGGCUGAGCCCCACUGCUAAAGCUGGGAGAUCCCCCACCACCCCAGCAAUAAGCAGGAGAGCACCCAUCUUUUCUCCUGGACACCUAUGCUGGCUGCCUGCUGCUCUGGUCUGAAAAGCACUGUACAUAUACAUUGUGUCCUGGUUUUCAGUUGUUUAAGGUGGGGGUGAACGUGGUCCGUGUUGCUCCAACAUGGCUUAAACUUGAAGUCAGUCCUGCUUAGACUUUUAGAGCUGAGCUGUUCUUCCUCACUAGGUUAGGAUCUCAGAGGACCAGGGAUCCAGUAGUUACUGGAUGCUGGGGGCAUCUUUUGAGCCCUGAUUAGGGCUAGUCCACCAGACUUGGCCAUGUGAGAAAGGAACCAAGUCUCUUGGCACAGGCCAGUGGGGGUCAGGGGUUUCUAACAUGUAUCUUAAGUGAUCCACCUUAAUAAUUUAAAAUGCACAGGAACAACCUCAUGUGCUUGCAGAACUGGGGCAAAGGUCACAGAAAACAAUCUGUUGUAAAAAGCUGUCCCCACUCCUUCAGGCCUGUAUACUGUAGGUACUGAGGAAAUGCGUCUCGGUCCUGUCCUCAGAUAACUGCUUCUUGAUCCAGCCUUCAGAGCUGAUCCAUUCUCUCUCCCGCCAUCCCUCAAGUUCCCCUUUCUUUCCAGCAGGUAGCUGGUCUGGUCCUGGGGCCCUCUGAGCAGAACCAGGCUUUACAGUUAAUAUCCCGCAGCCUCUGAUUGCAGCUUUCAGAGGUGUAACAUUUGAUAAGCUCCAUUUAGCUUGGCGGGGCUGCAUUGUUUAAAUUAUUCAAAGACAGAUUGCUCGCUCCACCCCCCCCUCCAGGGUUUCUGCUCUGCUGAGCCUGCCGGCAGCACGUUACCAGGAAAUAAGGCGGGGAGUCAGCAGGCAGUUUCUCACUGCCCUGAAAUCAGUUCCAGCCGUUGUUCUACACCCAUCACACCCCAUUAUUCCUUGCUAAUUGCAAGCCUGGUAUGCAAGUUAACUCUUUGAGAACAAUGCUGGCUUUGAUUGCUGGGGAGACACAGUGAGCCUCCCACCUCCUCCUGCCUCCCCUCCCCCUCUGUCCCCAGCUGACUGACUGUCUGGGAUUCAGCAAGUCAAGGGGUGGGAAGAAAUCUGAAAAUCUGAGGUAGAGCUGGUUCCCCAGGCAUUCCGAUUGGGCAGGUGGAUACAGCCAGUUGGGUCCCAGCCUAAGGCUGGAGCAGCCUCAUCUCUAACUGGUGUUGGACAACCCAGUCUUGCUAUUGUGUCCAGCCAUCCGCAUGGCACCUAGAGGGUGUGCAGGCUGGGCCCUGGCUCAGAACAAGCCAUCACCUCCUGGUCCAGGGAGCCCUCGCCACUGCCCUUGGACGUGGCCUCACUCCUUCUGCACCUGAGCUGUUUGCUCCCUACACACGGAAUGAUUGUCACGGUCAUCUGGCAGUGGUCACGAAGAACUAUUCUUCCAGGGAUCCUUUUCAUCAUCGACUUAGAACAAAUAAGAAUAAUUCUAAGAGUUGGUUGGCCAUCAAAGCCUAAAAUAUGUGCUCUCUGGUCUUUUACAGGAAAAAGGCUGCUGGCCCCUCCCCUAGAAUCUGAAUUAAGAGACGGAGGCAACUCGGUGUCUGGACCUUGAAGACAAUGUGUGAGCCUGUCUUGGCCUGGAUCCUAGACCAGAAGAAGACAUGGCUGGAACUGCACUGAAGGGGACCUGCAGAUGGGACAGUAGAGUCACCGUGUCACUUCCUUGAUUCUCAUCAUUGCACUGUGGUUCUGCAAGGGAGACAUAUGGGGAAUUGUACUAUUUUUGCAACUUUUUUGAAAGCCUGAAAUUGUUUUGAAAAAAACAGAUACAUUUGGGGGAGGAAAAAAAAAAAAACAUGGGGCAGGCGUAGUGGCUCAUGCCUGUAAUCCCAGCAACUCAGAAGGCUGAGGCAGGAGGAUGACAAAUUUGAGGCCAGCCUUGGCUACUUAGUGAGACCCUUUCUCAAAAUAAAAGGGGCUGUGGAUGUAGCUCAGUGGAAGAAUGCCCCUGGGGAGGGCCUGGGGAGGGUGGCUUUUAGGUGGGGUGGAAUUGGGAAAGGAGCACUUAGACAGAUGGUCACUUCCCCAGAGGGCCUGAGGGUGAGCUGGGGAUGCAUGCAGCAGUCCAAAGAAUGCAGGCUUUGGCAAGGACGUGGAGUGAACAAGGACGGGGUGGCUGUGCGGUAGAAGGUUAGUCUCCAGGGGCUGCCUACCAUAAAGCCUAAAGCCUCAGUGAACUCACUAACCUCAUGAAAUAAGUGCCAAUAGAUUUCCUGUGUAGGAAGCGAAGGGUCCAAAGUCAGGCUAACUGGCAGGAGGGCAAACAGUGGACCCACCUGGAUGCAGGAGCAGAUAAGGACCCUAAGGAAGUAAGGCUGGCCCUUUUCAGGGUGGCCCAGGCUGAGCCACAAGACCAGAGCCAAGUUCACCUAAAUUGCCACAGGCCAGAGGCCCCAAGAGUGAGUUGCCCUCUCAGGGGUGACCCCUGUCUACUCCCUUGCCCCCAGCCUGAUGACCAACAGGGUCUCUGAUGCUGGCCCCUCCAAGCCCAGCAGUGCCAUGGUCACACUGCCACUCCUGUGCUUGGGCUUUUACCAACCUCAGGGCUGCUAACCAGAGCUGGGAGGGCCACUGGCUGGGCAGUAAGCAGCAUGCUCCAUGAGUAGACUGGGCACAUUAGUAACUAAGAAGAGCAGAAAGCUCCUGCCGCAGCAGAAGUACCUUUAAGCAAGAGAAGUUGCGAGGAGGCCCGAGGAUCCUUCUCAGGAAAAUGGUGCAGUCAGAGAGGACAGCCAUGAGCACGCUCCAGAGGGCCUGACUGGCCAGGGGCCAUCCGUGUGGGAUGGCAGGAAGGCCUCUGCCCAGUUCCCAUGGUCACUCCCAGCCCAGGACUCAGUGCAGCAGGGACACCAGGCAGACCAGGCGGCCAGCGGGAACAGAGUCCCUUGCUGCUUGACCAAACCUGCCUGUGACUACCCAUCUGUCUAGAGAUUCCACAGGACCUUCUCUCCUCGUCUUCACCCAGGUCAAACUUGUUUUGCUGACUGGCUUCUAGCCUCCCCAGCCCUCCCCAUUUUCUCUCACACAGGCAUGACCAUGACGCACAUUAUCAGCACAUCUCAAACACGCAGAGGAAAUUCCUUACUUUAAUUCCAUCCGGGUCUCUGCUAUUUAGAGUGAUCUCCCCUGGAGUGACUCGCCCAGUUCUGCUCUACUCUAAGGUUCCUCUAAGAUAACCAAUCCCCUGCCCCACGGUCUCCCAGAAGGAGGGGACAGGAUAUGCAGCAAGGCCUUUUAAUUUUCCAUAAUUUUAAUAUGUUUCUUUUUAUUAAAAUUAAAUCUUUUUAUAGCUUUAUUUUAUUCAUUUAUUUUAUGUGGUGCUGAGGUUUGAACCCAGGGCCUCACAGAUGCUAGGCAAGUGCUCUACCACUGAACCACAACCCAGCCCAAUAUGUGUGUUUAAAAUCUAAAAUAUAGGGGCUGGGAUGUGGCUCAAGCGGUAGCGCGCUCACCUGGCAUGCGUGGGGCCCGGGUUCAAUCCUCAGCACCACAUGCAAACACAGAUGUUGUGUCCGCCAAAAACUGAAAAAUAAAUAUUAAAAAAUUCUCUCUCUCAAAAAAAAAAAUUAAAAUCUAAAAUGUCUAAUUCCUGGAAUAUAACCUUUACUUUGACUGUAAGGUGGUCAAACACCCACUGUAGAGGGAAAAAAACCAUCCUACAGUUGAUUUCUGAUUUAAAUUUCCUACCAGCUGAGGUGGUAAUCACUUCUGAACUAUUUAGUGGCCAUGUCUUUAAAGGUCGUAUUGGACAGUUGCUGGAGGUCAUAUGUAAGGAAAAGCAUCCUCCUCCUCCUCCUGCCCAAAACAUAGAUGCAUAAACCUCAGAAUCAGGAUUCAUGAGAAGCCAGAAAUCAUGGUGGGACACUAACAGGUUGAGUCAACGUCCAUCUCAGUAAGUUGCACGAGGCCUCAGUGUGCAGAUGUCAAAGACAUACAGUUUGCAGACUGGCUUUACUUACGUCCACAAAAUAAGUGUAUGCAGGGUGAGUCUGUUCAUGACUCGGGGAGCUGCUUCAGAAACAGCAUGACUGACAUGGAAAGGGGAAUGAUGGGAAGAGGAACUGAGAAAUGGGAGAAAGGAAGAUCAGAGAGGAGUCCGCCCUGGGUUCUGUGAGCUGGUCCACUUCCAGGACUGGCAUCUGGGUCCUGGCAGGACUAUUGACUCCUUAAUGAGAGAGCCCCUCAAGGAUCAAUUUCCAGACAAAACUGUCCCAGAUGCCCCCAUGUCACCCAGAUGGGUGGAAGCCAUCAACCCACAGGGAGAAUCUUGCUCUCUGAUGAGAGAAACGCUUGGAAAACUAUCCACCCCAAGGGUGUGAGAGACACCAGAGGGAGGCAGUGUGAAGUGUGGUGUGGGUCCUGCCCAGGAUUGGUUCCCAGAGAGGACACUGGCAUGGGGCUCAGCUGUCCCCUCGCUGAGUGCCCAGCGGCUCUCUAAGAGCAGCCAAGGACGUGGAGAGCCAGGGCAGCUCGGGAGCCUGGGAGCGGGUGGACCCUGCCUGGUGCCUUGAGUUAGGAAACCAGGUCAGAGAGCUUCCAAGCUACUAGGUGAAGAGCUGGCAUUAGAAGGCGUCUGCAGGCACCACGCGGGUGUCCUGACACCUGUCCCUCGGCGCCCAUCGAGAAGGCCUUUCUGGCUCCUGGCCUCAGCGGCUCUGGCAGCCCUCAUUUCCUCUGCUGGGUUUGGGGCUUAAAGCUGCCCAAGUGAGGAGCUCAGAUCUGCCUUUGCGUGAAGCAGCUCUUUAAAUGCAUUUUUCAGCACGACUCCCUGCAAGACAUAGACGUUCAACUGCACGUGUGCGCGCGCGCGCACACACACACACACACACACACACACACACACACACACGGUCCGGGCUUCACAAACAGCGCUCGCUCUGACGGCUCUCCAGGCACUCUGCCGUUCUCUCCCACUGUCUCCUCUUUCCCUUUCUCCAUCAUGGUUAAAAACAAAAACGCUGCUUGGGAUUGGAUGAGCACUGGCUGAAAGGAGCGUCACCACUCUGGGGGUCCAAGGGGCCCUCUGAGAAGGUGGCAGGUCCCUGCACAUGGUCAUCAUCCCACCUUUCUGAGGAGGCUGGAAUUGUGUCCCAAGGAGGUCCCCACGGUUCCCCUGGGUCAUACCACUGCACCAAAACGUCAUGCUCAGACACCCGCGCGGUGUCACAGUCAGGGUGACUCUCAUGGGCUUACACUGAAUGCCUCGCUAGGAAACCCCAAGAGCUACAUGGCCAAAGAGUGAGUGCUAUUCCUACUUCGUUAACUGCUAGGAAAAGUAAAGCUUGAACUAUGUAGGUGACUUGUCCAAGGCCAACUGCAGCUGGCAGGGUCAGAGCAAGGAGCCCAGGGUCUCAUGAUGCUCUAUGUACCGUGCCCCGCCCUUCCACAAGGCUGAUGGAAGCCCUUGCCGUCUCCACCUUUGGAAGUCUCAUCUGGUCCCCAAGCUCUGGACCAACAAGGUCCUGAAUACGGGAAAUUUCUUUUUUUAAAAAAUAUUUUUAUUUUUUAGUUGGAGUUGGACACAAUACUUUUAGUUUAUUUAUUUUUAUGUGGUGCUGAGGAUCGAACCCAGGGCCUCACACUUCCUAGGCGAGUGUUCUACCCCAGCCCCUACGAGAAGUUUCUAACAGUCAUCUUACAUCAAAUCAUCCAGCUGGAUGCCCCUGUGACAUGAGCUUCGACCAGAGUUGGCUUCCACGAAGUUCAUGAGCCAGUGUUCAAGAUUUAGAGAAAACAGUGGACUGCUCAAGACAUACUAGGAACAUCCACGGUGCCCGCCACUCUGCCGGGGGAUUCUCCUAGGCUGCUGUGGCCAGGACUGGUUGCAAAGCCCUCCAACACACUUGACCGAAGACAAGUUUAAUGUCUUGGAGUUUAAUGUUUUUAUUAGUUGUGUUUGUGGCUUCUUCAAAAUACUGUGUAGCUGCUGGCACCACCCCAGCCCCACUGCAAGAACCUCCUCCCCAGCCUCCACUCACCAGCAAGCUGCACCCCGCACCCAGGGAUUGCCCCCCACCCCGCCCUCAUCCAUCAAACAGGCCGCUGUCUGCAGACGUUCCGGGAUUUGUUGUAUUUGGGAUUAAGGGGGGGCGGGUAAAAUUAAUAAGGUUUCUAUAAAUAUAACUUCUCUGGCUCUUGUUAAAACUCUGGGUCACAGGAAAUCUCUGGUUUCAAACGGCUCUAUGCAGAGUGGCCCUGUUUACUUGAAACGUCUCGCCAAGAUCUAGCUUUGCCCCAUUAAUACUAAAUAAAUAAUUUCCACAGAAGCUAUUUUUUGGUCCUCUUUGCCAAAAAAUUUGAGAAAAGGGGCCAGCACAGAAGCCUCACAUGCGUGUUUCAUAUAAAAACCACAGGAUCAGUGGGGACCUUAGUUGUGUAAACUGUUUCAGGACAGAUGAGACUCAGCUGGUGACCCAAGUCAAGCAGAGCACCCAUGGGGCGCUGGUCCCAGCUCCCACCCGAGAGCAGAUCCAUGAGCUUCACACCCGUCCACUCUUCCUAUGUAAGCCACUCUCUCAGAGGGUCCAAGGAAUGUAGAUAGGCACCUGAGGAGUAAAUGGCUUGUGAUCUAGUAGGGUUGCUAAAUUGGCAUAUAAAAUACAAGAUGCCCAAAAGGAACUGAAUAGACACUUCACAGAAGAAGAAAUACAACUGAUCAACUGAUAUAUGAAAAAGUGUUCAACAUUUCUAGCAAUUAGAGAAAUGCAAAUCAAAACUACACUGAGAUUCCAUCUUCAAUUACAAUGUCAAUCAUCAGGAAUACAAGCAACAAUAAAUGUUGGUGAGGUUGUGGGGGAAUAGGUGCAUUCAUGCUUUGCUGGUAGGACUGCAAAUUGAUGCAACACUCUGGAAAGCAGUGUGGAGAGUCCUCAGGAAACUUGGAAUGGAACCACCAUUGGACUCAGUCAUCCCACUCCUAAGUUUAUUCCGCAAAGACUUAAAAUCAGCAUACUACACUGAUGCAGCCGUAUCAAUGUUUAUAGCAGCUCAAUUCACAAUAGCUCAACUAUGGAACCAACCUGUGUGCCCUUCAACAGAUGAAGGGAUAAAAAAUGUGGUAUAUAUACACAAUGGAAUAUUACUCAACUUAAAAAAGAAUGAAAUUGUGGUAUUUGCUGGUAAAUGGAUGAAACUGGAGAAUAUUA
Molecule: long non-coding RNA, 25180 nt
Filed under: Marmota monax (woodchuck)
Lineage: Eukaryota; Metazoa; Chordata; Mammalia; Rodentia; Sciuridae
Source: RNAcentral